Molecule: ribosomal RNA, 301 nt
Filed under: uncultured bacterium
Lineage: Bacteria
Description: partial 16S ribosomal RNA
Rfam family: Bacterial small subunit ribosomal RNA
Source: RNAcentral
CAGUCGCCGCGGUAAUACGGAGGGUGCAGGCGUUAAUCGGAAUUACUGGGCGUAAAGCGCACGCAGGCGGUUUGUUAAGUCAGAUGUGAAAUCCCCGAGCUUAACUUGGGAACUGCAUUUGAAACUGGCAAGCUAGAGUCUUGUAGAGGGGGGUAGAAUUCCAGGUGUAGCGGUGAAAUGCGUGGAGAUCUGGAGGAGUACCGGUGGCGAAGGCGGCCCCUUGGACAAAGACUGACGCUGAAGCACGAAAGCGUGGGGAGCAAACAGGAUUAGAUACCCGGGUAGUCCCUGUCUCUUAUAA